UACAGAGGUCUCAAGCGUUGUUCGGAUUCAUUGGGCGUAAAGGGUGCGUAGGUGGCAUGGUAAGUCGGAUGUGAAAUCCCGGGGCUCAACCCCGGAACUGCAUUCGAUACUGCUGCGCUAGAGUACUGGAGAGGAGAUUGGAAUUUACGGUGUAGCAGUGAAAUGCGUAGAUAUCGUAAGGAAGACCAGUGGCGAAGGCGGCUCACUGGUCCGGUACUGACGCUGAGGUGCGAAAGCGUGGGAGCAAACAGG
This 252-nucleotide ribosomal RNA is filed under the name uncultured bacterium. RNAcentral's name for it is "partial 16S ribosomal RNA". It matches the Rfam family "Bacterial small subunit ribosomal RNA", at positions 524 to 776 of the family's 1533-position model. The record is from RNAcentral.